RNAcentral lists this ribosomal RNA (459 nucleotides) under uncultured soil bacterium. Its description in RNAcentral is "bacterial SSU rRNA". It matches the Rfam family "Bacterial small subunit ribosomal RNA", at positions 26 to 518 of the family's 1533-position model. The record is from RNAcentral.
AGAUUGAACGCUAGCGGGAUGCUUUACACAUGCAAGUCGAACGGCAGCGCGGACUUCGGUCUGGCGGCGAGUGGCGAACGGGUGAGUAAUAUAUCGGAACGUGCCCAGUAGCGGGGGAUAACUACGCGAAAGCGUGGCUAAUACCGCAUACGCCCUACGGGGGAAAGAUUUAUCGCCUUUAGAGCGGCCCGCGUCUGAUUAGCUAGUUGGUGAGGUAAAGGCUCACCAAGGCUACGAUCAGUAGCUGGUCUGAGAGGAUGACCAGCCACAUUGGGACUGAGACACGGCCCAAACUCCUACGGGAGGCAGCAGUGGGGAAUCUUGCGCAAUGGGCGAAAGCCUGACGCAGCCAUGCCGCGUGAAUGAUGAAGGUCUUAGGAUUGUAAAAUUCUUUCAGUAGGACGAUAAUGACGGUACCUACAAGAAGAAGCCCCGGCUAACUUCGACGCCAGCAGCCGC